Molecule: non-coding RNA, 115 nt
Organism: Hordeum vulgare subsp. vulgare (domesticated barley)
Lineage: Eukaryota; Viridiplantae; Streptophyta; Magnoliopsida; Poales; Poaceae
Source: Rfam
AAUAUACUCCCUCCGUCCGAAAUUACUUGUCGUAAAAAUGGAUGUAUCUAAAACUACAGUACGUCUAGAUACAUCCAUUCCUCCGACAAGUAUUUCCGGAGGUAGGGAGUAAUAA